Molecule: ribosomal RNA, 574 nt
Filed under: uncultured Enterococcus sp.
Lineage: Bacteria; Bacillati; Bacillota; Bacilli; Lactobacillales; Enterococcaceae
Description: bacterial SSU rRNA
Rfam family: Bacterial small subunit ribosomal RNA
Source: RNAcentral
CGCUUCUUUUCCCACCGGAGCUUGCUCCACCGGGAAAAGAGGAGUGGCGAACGGGUGAGUAACACGUGGGUAACCUGCCCAUCAGAAGGGGAUAACACUUGGAAACAGGUGCUAAUACCGUAUAACAAUCGAAACCGCAUGGUUUCGUUUUGAAAGGCGCUUUACGGUGCCGCUGAUGGAUGGACCCGCGGUGCAUUAGCUAGUUGGUGAGGUAACGGCUCACCAAGGCCACGAUGCAUAGCCGACCUGAGAGGGUGAUCGGCCACAUUGGGACUGAGACACGGCCCAAACUCCUACGGGAGGCAGCAGUAGGGAAUCUUCGGCAAUGGACGAAAGUCUGACCGAGCAACGCCGCGUGAGUGAAGAAGGUUUUCGGAUCGUAAAACUCUGUUGUUAGAGAAGAACAAGGGUGAGAGUAACUGUUCACCCCUUGACGGUAUCUAACCAGAAAGCCACGGCUAACUACGUGCCAGCAGCCGCGGUAAUACGUAGGUGGCAAGCGUUGUCCGGAUUUAUUGGGCGUAAAGCGAGCGCAGGCGGUUUCUUAAGUCUGAUGUGAAAGCCCCCGGCUCAA